This 347-nucleotide unclassified non-coding RNA is filed under the name uncultured Sebacina. RNAcentral's name for it is "sequence contains ITS1". The stretch from base 1 to 105 matches the Rfam family "5.8S ribosomal RNA", at positions 50 to 154 of the family's 154-position model. Lineage: Eukaryota; Fungi; Basidiomycota; Agaricomycetes; Sebacinales; Sebacinaceae. The record is from RNAcentral.
GAAAUGCGAUAAGUAAUGUGAAUUGCAGAAUUCAGUGAAUCAUCGAAUCUUUGAACGCACCUUGCACCCUUUGGCAUUCCGAAGGGUAUGCUCGUUUGAGUGUCAUUGUACUCUCACACUCCCAAUACUUUUGGAUUGGGAGCGGUGGACUUGGGUGUUGCUGCUUUACUGUGGCUCACCUCAAAUGGAGUAGUGCAACUCUCGGUUGGACAUAGUACGGCGUGAUAAGUGUCUUCGCCGGCGCCUCAUUAGAGGGUGGCCGAUCGGGAGCUCUGUGCUUCAAACCGUCUUCGGACAACAUCUGACAACUUGACCUCAAAUCGAGUAGGACUACCCGCUGAACUUAA